GUUAUGCAGUAGUAGAAAAUUUGAAAUAGGCACCCCCCCUUUAGCACCGGUUCUUGAAAACCGGUGCCAAAAUAAAUGGGCGGGAUUGGAAAUUUCAGAGUUGGCACCGGUUCCAACCUAAACCGGUGCCAAAUCCUUUAAUUAGCACCGGUUCAAACCGGUGCCAACCAUUUAAAAAAAAAAAAAAAAAAAAAAAACAAAAGAAGGGAAUGGAGUUGGCACUGGUUUAGAUCGAACCGGUGGCAAUUAUUGCAAUUAGCUCCGGUUCGAACCGGUACCAUUUAAAACAACAAAAAGCCGAGUUUUUUACAUAACUCCUUCAUUUCUUCUUCAAUUCGUUUUUCAUUCUCUCUUAGCUCUCUGAAAGAAAAUGCAUGCCUCUCUCCUUCAUUUCCUUAUCUCUCAUCUCUCAUCUCUGUUCUUCUCUCUCCAACUAAGCACCACAACCAACACAACAACCAAGCCGCCGCCGUCAACCACAACAAACAUCGCCGCCGCCUAAAAUCAAAAAUUUGAGGUUUGAAGUUUCUGAUUUUUUAAUUUUCGGUUUGAAGGUCGUGAAUUUGCUGAGUUUGAAGUUCGAAGUUCGAAGUUUCUGGGUUGUAAAUUGUAAAAUUACAAAUUCAGCAAUUUUUCUUUUUUUUUUAAUAAGUUGUAAAAUAACAAUUUAUUUGAUGAAUAUAGCCUUGUUCGAUUUCUUGUUUUGGAUUGUAUGCUGAAAUUUUCAUUGAAGGCUUAA
Long non-coding RNA from Chenopodium quinoa (quinoa), 739 nucleotides. RefSeq lists it as uncharacterized. Lineage: Eukaryota; Viridiplantae; Streptophyta; Magnoliopsida; Caryophyllales; Amaranthaceae. The record is from RefSeq and is a predicted model, not a curated record. The transcript has 2 exons.